Gasterosteus aculeatus aculeatus (three-spined stickleback) is the source of this 833-nucleotide long non-coding RNA. RefSeq lists it as uncharacterized. NCBI's taxonomy places the organism in Eukaryota, Metazoa, Chordata, Actinopteri, Perciformes, Gasterosteidae. The record is from RefSeq and is a predicted model, not a curated record.
UAUCAAAUAGUGUUUGUAACUCUAUUUGUUAUCUGAUCUAAUAUUGAAACCUUUCAUUACACCUUUAAGACCAAAUGUCGGUCAUGCUGUUAAUAACUCGUUCCUGUCAAGGCAAGUGCCUCUUGGUCCAACCUGUUAAACCUGAAGACACGUGUGAAGGAGUGUGUUCACUACCCUCCUCUGGAAAUAUAAGUCUACUCUAAAAAGGUAAAGAUUCAAGUCGACAGAAAGGCGACUCUGAAAGCAAAGGUCCGGAUAAAUCCAUCUGAAAGCAAUUACAGUCCACCGGCCAAUUGUCAAAAAAACCCAAAGAGGCAUCGAUCAUCAUGGGGAAAGGGGAGAGCGACGACUGGGAUGAGAAGCACGGGGACACGAGGCAGACUCAGCCUCGCAAACAGGAGGAGACUGAGGGUUCAAGCUCAGUUUGGAUAAAUCCAUCCGAACGCAAUUACAGACUACCGGCCAAUUUUCAAAAAGAAGUCAAUGAAGCGUCGGUCAUCAUGGAAAGAUGGGAGAGUGACCAGGGGCCCCCGAUACAGACUCAGCCUCGCGAACACAAGGAGAAGCCAAGACAAUGUUGCAUGUGCUGCUUGAAGUGUCUGUCCACCGAGGAGGUUGUGGAAUCCUGCUGCUCGGGCUUAUGUGAAUGUUUAAUCAGUCUUUGUUCCGAAGAGUGAAUCUCUUUUUAACCUGACCUUGAACAUCUGGACCAGAUUUCCCAGGCUGCGUUGAAUCUCAGCGUCCGCCAGCGGCUUUAGUGUGAUUUAUGCCAUUUGGAGAUGAAAAAAUUACCUUUCAGUCACUUUGAUGAGCUAAUAAACUUUAUACCUCAA